CAGCCGCCGCGGGAAUACGUAGGGUGCGAGCGUUAAUCGGAAUUACUGGGCGUAAAGCGUGCGUAGGUGGUGGUUUAAGUCCGUUGUGAAAGCCCUGGGCUCAACCUGGGAAUUGCAGUGGAUACUGGAUCACUAGAGUGUGGUAGAGGAUAGUGGAAUUUCCGGUGUAGCAGUGAAAUGCGUAGAUAUCAUGAGGAAGACCAGUUGCGAAGGCGACUCUCUGGGCAAUUCCUGACACUGAGGCACGAAGGCUAGGGGAGCAAACGGGAUUAGAUACCCCAGUAGUCCCUGUCUCUUAUAC
Molecule: ribosomal RNA, 301 nt
Filed under: uncultured bacterium
Lineage: Bacteria
Description: partial 16S ribosomal RNA
Rfam family: Bacterial small subunit ribosomal RNA
Source: RNAcentral